RNAcentral lists this ribosomal RNA (192 nucleotides) under uncultured bacterium. RNAcentral describes it as "partial 16S ribosomal RNA". It matches the Rfam family "Bacterial small subunit ribosomal RNA", at positions 1309 to 1500 of the family's 1533-position model. The record is from RNAcentral.
AACUCGACCACACGAAGCUGGAAUCGCUAGUAAUCGCGAAUCAGCAUGUCGCGGUGAAUACGUUCCCGGGUCUUGUACACACCGCCCGUCACACCAUGGGAGUUGGGAAUGCCCGAAGUCAGUGACCCAACCGCAAGGAGGGAGCUGCCGAAGGCAGGCUCGAUAACUGGGGUGAAGUCGUAACAAGGUAGC